RNAcentral lists this unclassified non-coding RNA (239 nucleotides) under Hevea brasiliensis (rubber tree). The record is from RNAcentral. Lineage: Eukaryota; Viridiplantae; Streptophyta; Magnoliopsida; Malpighiales; Euphorbiaceae.
AAAAAAAAAAAAAAAAAAGGUUGACAGAGAAGUUGAUCAUGGCCCUCCUCAAAUUGUGAAAUUUUUUUUUUCUUGGUCACUUUUUUCUUAAACCAGUAUCUUAUUGGAAAUUUUACAUGUAUUUUUUAUUUUUUUGUUUAAAAUUGUCACAUUUUUGUUCUUCCUGCCGAGUGUGUUUAUUGUUCCUUUCCUUAUUCUUAUUAUUCCCUAUUAGAUGUGUCGUGGAGUUCUUUGGAUUU